Molecule: ribosomal RNA, 251 nt
Filed under: uncultured bacterium
Lineage: Bacteria
Description: partial 16S ribosomal RNA
Rfam family: Bacterial small subunit ribosomal RNA
Source: RNAcentral
ACGUAGGGGGCAAGCGUUAUCCGGAUUUACUGGGUGUAAAGGGAGCGUAGACGGCUGUGCAAGUCUGAAGUGAAAGGCAUGGGCUCAACCUGUGGACUGCUUUGGAAACUGUGCAGCUAGAGUGUCGGAGAGGUAAGUGGAAUUCAUAGUGUAGCGGUGAAAUGCGUAGAUAUUAGGAGGAACACCAGUGGCGAAGGCGGCUUACUGGACGAUGACUGACGUUGAGGCUCGAAAGCGUGGGGAGCAAACAG